Molecule: ribosomal RNA, 253 nt
Filed under: uncultured bacterium
Lineage: Bacteria
Description: partial 16S ribosomal RNA
Rfam family: Bacterial small subunit ribosomal RNA
Source: RNAcentral
UACAGAGGGUGCAAACGUUGCUCGGAAUUAUUGGGCGUAAAGCGCGUGUAGGCGGUUUGUUAAGUCGGUUGUGAAAUCCCAUGGCUCAACCAUGGAAGUGCUGCCGAAACUGGCGAACUAGAGUCCCGACGAGGAUGGCGGAAUUCCCAGUGUAGAGGUGAAAUUCGUAGAUAUUGGGAGGAACACCGGUGGCGAAGGCGGCCAUCUGGGAGGGUACUGACGCUCAGACGCGAAAGCGUGGGUAGCAAACAGG